Molecule: microRNA precursor, 103 nt
Filed under: Marmota monax (woodchuck)
Lineage: Eukaryota; Metazoa; Chordata; Mammalia; Rodentia; Sciuridae
Source: RNAcentral
AGUGGGAUAGCUGGGUCAAAUGGUGGUUCCAUUCCCGGUUUUCUGAGGAAUCUCCAUACUGCCUUCCAUAUUGGUUGUACCAAUUUGCAGUCCCACCAGCAAU